RNAcentral lists this unclassified non-coding RNA (80 nucleotides) under Salegentibacter flavus. RNAcentral's name for it is "sroD RNA". Lineage: Bacteria; Pseudomonadati; Bacteroidota; Flavobacteriia; Flavobacteriales; Flavobacteriaceae. The record is from RNAcentral.
UAACGCUCAAUAAUGAGGUUAAUUAAAAAAUUUCACUUUUUUCAAUUUUCAUUAAACGCCGGAUAUUCCGGCGUUUUUUG